This 472-nucleotide ribosomal RNA is filed under the name uncultured Serratia sp. RNAcentral describes it as "bacterial SSU rRNA". It matches the Rfam family "Bacterial small subunit ribosomal RNA", at positions 56 to 517 of the family's 1533-position model. Lineage: Bacteria; Pseudomonadati; Pseudomonadota; Gammaproteobacteria; Enterobacterales; Yersiniaceae. The record is from RNAcentral.
UGCAGUCGAGCGGUAGCACAGGUAGAGCUUGCUCUCUGGGUGGCGAGCGGCGGACGGGUGAGUAAUGUCUGGGAAUCUGCCNGAUGGAGGGGGAUAACUAAUGGAAACGUUAGCUAAUACCGCAUACCCUCUUCGGAGGAGAGUGGGGGACCUUCGGGCCUCGCGCCAUCGGAUGUGCCCAUAUGGGAUUAUCUAGUUGGUGGGGUAAUGGCUCACCUAGGCGACGAUCCCUAGCUGGUCUGAGAGGAUGACCAGCCACACUGGAACUGAGACACGGUCCAGACUCCUACGGGAGGCAGCAGUGGGGAAUAUUGCACAAUGGGCGCAAGCCUGAUGCAGCCAUGCCGCGUGUGUGAAGAAGGCCUUCGGGUUGUAAAGCACUUUCAGCGAGGAGGAAGGGUUCUGUGUUAAUAGCACUGUGCAUUGACGUUACUCGCAGAAGAAGCACCGGCUAACUCCGUGCCAGCAGCCG